GAUGAACGCUGGCGGCGUGCCUAAUACAUGCAAGUCGAGCGAACGGACGAGACGCUUGCUUUUCUGAUGUUAGCGGCGGACGGGUGAGUAACACGUGGAUAACCUACCUAUAAGACUGGGAUAACUUCGGGACACCGGAGCUAAUACCGGAGAAUAUUUUGAACCGCAUGGUUCAAAAGUGAAAGACGGUCUUGCUGUCACUUAUAGAUGGAUCCGGGCUGCAUUAGCUAGUUGGGAAGGUAACGGCUUACCAAGGCAACGAGGCAUAGCCGACGGGAGAGGGGGAUCGGCCACAUGGGAAGUGGGACACGGUCCAGAGUACUACGGGAGGCAGCAGUAGCGAAUCGUCCGCAACAGGGGAGAGCAUGGCGGAGCAGCGCGGCGUGAGUUAUGAAGGUCUUCGGAGCGGAAUGCCCUGUUAUUAGGGAAGAACCGCUGUGGAAGGUGACGAGCAGAGCGUGACGGUACCUAGUCAGAAAGCCCCGGCUAACUACGUG
RNAcentral lists this ribosomal RNA (497 nucleotides) under uncultured bacterium. Its description in RNAcentral is "partial 16S ribosomal RNA". It matches the Rfam family "Bacterial small subunit ribosomal RNA", at positions 28 to 507 of the family's 1533-position model. The record is from RNAcentral.